GGGGAUUUGGCUCAGUGGUAGAGCACUUGCCUAGCAAGCACAAGGCCCUGGGUUCGGUCCCCAGCUCG
Molecule: transfer RNA, 68 nt
Filed under: Rattus norvegicus (Norway rat)
Lineage: Eukaryota; Metazoa; Chordata; Mammalia; Rodentia; Muridae
Rfam family: tRNA
About the family: Transfer RNA (tRNA) molecules are approximately 80 nucleotides in length. Their secondary structure includes four short double-helical elements and three loops (D, anti-codon, and T loops).
Source: Rfam by way of RNAcentral